UUGGCGGACGGGUGAGUAACGCGUGGAAAACCUGCCGUAUACUGGGGGAUAACACUUAGAAAUAGGUGCUAAUACCGCAUAAGCGCACAGCUUCGCAUGAAGCGGUGUAGAAAAACUCUGGUGGUAUACGAUGGUUCCGCGUCUGAUUAGCUAGUUGGGUGGGGUAAUGGCCUACCAAGGCAACGAUCAGUAGCCGGCCUGAGAGGGUGAACGGCCACAUUGGGACUGAGACACGGCCCAAACUCCUACGGGAGGCAGCAG
This 261-nucleotide ribosomal RNA is filed under the name uncultured bacterium. RNAcentral describes it as "partial 16S ribosomal RNA". It matches the Rfam family "Bacterial small subunit ribosomal RNA", at positions 95 to 354 of the family's 1533-position model. The record is from RNAcentral.